AUGAACGCUGGCGGCGUGCCUAAUACAUGCAAGUCGAGCGAACAGACGAGGAGCUUGCUCCUCUGACGUUAGCGGCGGCCGGGUGAGUAACCCGUGGAUAACCUACCUAUAAGACUGGGAUAAUUUCGGGAAACCGGAGCUAAUACCGGAUAAUAUAUUUAACGGCAUGGUUCUAUAGUAAAAGUCGGUUUUGCUGUCACUUAUAGAUGGAUCCGCGCCGCAUUAGCUAGUUGGUAAGGUAACGGCUUACCAAGGCGACGAUGCGUAGCCGACCUGAGAGGGUGAUCGGCCACACUGGAACUGAGACACGGUCCAGACUCCUACGGGAGGCAGCAGUAGGGAAUCUUCCGCAAUGGGCGAAAGCCUGACGGAGCAACGCCGCGUGAGUGAUGAAGGUCUUCGGAUCGUAAAACUCUGUUAUUAGGGAAGAACAAAUGUGUAAGUAACUAUGCACGUCUUGACGGUACCUAAUCAGAAAGCCACGGCUAACUACGUG
RNAcentral lists this ribosomal RNA (496 nucleotides) under uncultured bacterium. RNAcentral's name for it is "partial 16S ribosomal RNA". It matches the Rfam family "Bacterial small subunit ribosomal RNA", at positions 29 to 507 of the family's 1533-position model. The record is from RNAcentral.